UACGUAGGUCCCAAGCGUUGUCCGGAUUUAUUGGGCGUAAAGCGAGCGCAGGUGGUUUCUUAAGUCUGAUGUAAAAGGCAGUGGCUCAACCAUUGUGUGCAUUGGAAACUGGGAGACUUGAGUGAAGGAGAGGAGAGUAGAAUUCCAUGUGUAGCGGUGAAAUGCGUAGAUAUAUGGUGGAACACCGGAGGCGAAAGCGGCUCUCUGGCGUGUAACUGACACUGAGGCUCGAAAGCGUGGGGAGCAAACAGG
RNAcentral lists this ribosomal RNA (252 nucleotides) under uncultured bacterium. RNAcentral describes it as "partial 16S ribosomal RNA". It matches the Rfam family "Bacterial small subunit ribosomal RNA", at positions 524 to 776 of the family's 1533-position model. The record is from RNAcentral.